GUGGGGAAUAUUGCACAAUGGGGGAAACCCUGAUGCAGCGACGCCGCGUGAGCGAAGAAGUAUUUCGGUAUGUAAAGCUCUAUCAGCAGGGAAGAAACAUGACGGUACCUGAGUAAGAAGCACCGGCUAAAUACGUGCCAGCAGCCGCGGUAAUACGUAUGGUGCAAGCGUUAUCCGGAUUUACUGGGUGUAAAGGGAGCGCAGGCGGUGCGGCAAGUCUGAUGUGAAAACCCGGGGCUCAACCCCGGGACUGCAUUGGAAACUACCGAACUAGAGUGUCGGAGAGGUAAGUGGAAUUCCUAGUGUAGCGGUGAAAUGCGUAGAUAUUAGGAGGAACACCAGUGGCGAAGGCGGCUUACUGGACUGUAACUGACGUUGAGGCUCGAAAGCGUGGGGAGCAAACAGGA
Molecule: ribosomal RNA, 407 nt
Filed under: uncultured bacterium
Lineage: Bacteria
Description: bacterial SSU rRNA
Rfam family: Bacterial small subunit ribosomal RNA
Source: RNAcentral